This is a long non-coding RNA of Zalophus californianus (California sea lion), 298 nucleotides long. RefSeq lists it as uncharacterized. The transcript is spliced from 3 exons. The record is from RefSeq and is a predicted model, not a curated record. Lineage: Eukaryota; Metazoa; Chordata; Mammalia; Carnivora; Otariidae.
GGCAGAUAUGGAGAGGGGCGGGCCUACGGCCAUGCAGGGGGCGGUGCCGUGGCGGAGACGGUGGUGGUGGUGGGGAGUCAAGUCCACGAAGAGGCGGGUUGUCCAGGCAAGUGAAGACUGGGCGCUUUCUGCGGCUUCUCUGGCGUCCCACGGGGGCAAUAGUCCGUGCCCGUAGGGGUCUGGAAGAACUGUUCGAGCAGCGAGGAGUCCCCUAGGCGCACGUGACUCUUCAAUUUCUCAGACUGCAAGAGAGGGAACACAAGCAGAGGGAGUGGGAGAAGGAGAAGCAGGCUUCCCA